CCCGCACAAGCGGUGGAGCAUGUGGUUUAAUUCGACGCAACGCGAAGAACCUUACCGGGCUUGACAUCCCCUGACCGCGUAUGAAAGUACGUUUUCACCCUCGGGUGACAGGGAGACAGGUGGUGCAUGGUUGUCGUCAGCUCGUGUCGUGAGAUGUUGGGUUAAGUCCCGCAACGAGCGCAACCCCUACGUUUAGUUGCUAACGCGUGAAGGCGAGCACUCUAGACGAACUGCCGUUGACAAAACGGAGGAAGGUGGGGAUGACGUCAAAUCAUCAUGCCCCUUAUGUUCUGGGCUACACACGUGCUACAAUGGCCGGUACAGACGGACGCAAAGCCGCGAGGUGGAGCAAAUCCUAAAAAGCCGGUCUCAGUUCGGAUUGCAGGCUGCAAUUCGCCUGCAUGAAGUCGGAAUCGCUAGUAAUCGCAGGUCAGCAUACUGCGGUGAAUACGUUCCCGGGCCUU
RNAcentral lists this ribosomal RNA (464 nucleotides) under uncultured Pelotomaculum sp. RNAcentral describes it as "bacterial SSU rRNA". It matches the Rfam family "Bacterial small subunit ribosomal RNA", at positions 920 to 1382 of the family's 1533-position model. Lineage: Bacteria; Bacillati; Bacillota; Clostridia; Eubacteriales; Desulfotomaculaceae. The record is from RNAcentral.